GAUAUACUCCCUCCGUCCCAAAAUUCUUUUCUUAGAUUUGUCAAAAUAUGAAUGUAUCUAGUCAUGUUUUAGUAUUUAGAUACAUUCAUUUCUAAACAAACUUAAGACAAGAAUUUAGGGACGGAGGGAGCAUGAG
This 136-nucleotide microRNA precursor is filed under the name Hordeum vulgare. RNAcentral describes it as "microRNA MIR1122". It matches the Rfam family "MIR1120/MIR1122 microRNA precursor family". The record is from RNAcentral. Lineage: Eukaryota; Viridiplantae; Streptophyta; Magnoliopsida; Poales; Poaceae.